AUCCAUCUGACGAGUCCCAAAUAGAACGGAACGCACGUCCUAGAU
Non-coding RNA from Schistosoma mattheei, 45 nucleotides. The record is from Rfam. NCBI's taxonomy places the organism in Eukaryota, Metazoa, Platyhelminthes, Trematoda, Strigeidida, Schistosomatidae.